This 451-nucleotide ribosomal RNA is filed under the name uncultured bacterium. RNAcentral describes it as "bacterial SSU rRNA". It matches the Rfam family "Bacterial small subunit ribosomal RNA", at positions 354 to 796 of the family's 1533-position model. The record is from RNAcentral.
GUGGGGAAUUUUCCGCAAUGGGCGAAAGCCUGACGGAGUGACGCCGCGUGUGGGACGAAGGCCUUCGGGUCGUAAACCACUGUCAGUGGGAAAGAUGGGUGUCGGGGCUAAUACCUCCGGCAUCUGACGGUACCUGCAGAGGAAGCCCCGGCCAACUCUGUGCCAGCAGCCGCGGUAAGACAGAGGGGGCAAGCGUUGCUCGGAAUUACUGGGCGUAAAGGGCGCGUAGGCGGGAUGGCAAGUCGGUCGUGAAAUCCCUCGGCUCAACCGAGGAACGUCGAUCGAUACUGCUGUUCUUGAGGAUUGCAGAGGAGACUGGAAUUCCCGGUGUAGCGGUGAAAUGUGUAGAGAUCGGGAGGAACACCGGUGGCGAAGGCGGGUCUCUGGGCAAUUCCUGACGCUGAGGCGCGAAAGCGUGGGGAGCAAACGGGAUUAGAAACCCUUGUAGUCC